GGGGGAUGAUACACAUGGAGGGGCUUGUGGGAGGGAUGAGACACAUGGAGGGACUGGGGGAAUGAGACAAAUUGAGAGGGGAGAUGGGAGAGAAACACAUGGAGAUCCAUUUGUCUCUCUCCCCCCAUCCCCUGCAGCCUCUUCAUGUGCGUCUCUUUCCCCACCCCUGCAUCCACUCCAUUUUCCCCCCCUCCUUUGCAGCCCCUCCAUUUGUCUCUCUCUCCCCUUCCCCCAGGCCCUCCAUGUGUUUCUCUCCCACC
This is a non-coding RNA of Pelobates cultripes (western spadefoot toad), 260 nucleotides long. NCBI's taxonomy places the organism in Eukaryota, Metazoa, Chordata, Amphibia, Anura, Pelobatidae. The record is from the annotation of a GenBank genome assembly.